AGUGAACGCUAGUGGCGUGCUUAACACAUGCAAGUCGAACGGACGAUAUUUGUGCUUGCACAAAUAAAGUUAGUGGCAAACGGGUGAGUAAUACAUGAGAAUUUUCCUUGCAGUACGGAAUAACUAUUGGAAACAGUAGCUAAUACCGUAUAUUGCCGAGAGGUGAAAGAUUUAUCGCUGCAAGAUAAGCCCAUGCAAGAUUAGCUUGUUGGUAAGGUAAUGGCUUACCAAGGCUACGAUCUUUAGCUGGUUUGAGAGGAUGAUCAGCCACACUGGAACUUAGACACGGUCCAGACUCCUACGGGAGGCAGCAGUGGGGAAUCUUCUGCAAUGGGCGCAAGCCUGACAGAGCGGCGUCAUGUGAAGGAAGAAGGCCUGAAAUAGGUUGUAAACUUCUUUUACUGAGUAAUGAAUACUGACAACGCAGUAAAAAAGUAUCGGCUAACUCCGUGCCAGCCGCCGCCGUAACAC
Molecule: ribosomal RNA, 471 nt
Filed under: uncultured bacterium
Lineage: Bacteria
Description: bacterial SSU rRNA
Rfam family: Bacterial small subunit ribosomal RNA
Source: RNAcentral